UGGGGAAUAUUGGGCAAUGGGCGAAAGCCUGACCCAGCAACGCCGCGUGAAGGAUGAAGGUUUUCGGAUUGUAAACUUCUUUGACCAAGGACGAUAAUGACGGUACUUGGAAAACAAGCCACGGCUAACUACGUGCCAGCAGCCGCGGUAAUACGUAGGUGGCGAGCGUUGUCCGGAUUUACUGGGUGUAAAGGGCGUGUAGGCGGGAGAUCAAGUCAGAUGUGAAAUACCGCAGCUUAACUGCGGGGCUGCAUUUGAAACUGAACUUCUUGAGUGAUGGAGAGGCAAGCGGAAUUCCUAGUGUAGCGGUGAAAUGCGUAGAUAUUAGGAGGAACACCAGUGGCGAAGGCGGCUUGCUGGACAUUAACUGACGCUGAGGCGCGAAAGCGUGGGGAGCAAACA
RNAcentral lists this ribosomal RNA (402 nucleotides) under uncultured prokaryote. RNAcentral's name for it is "bacterial SSU rRNA". It matches the Rfam family "Bacterial small subunit ribosomal RNA", at positions 355 to 774 of the family's 1533-position model. The record is from RNAcentral.